AAAAGCUUAGUUGAGUUGAGUUGCAUCCUAACCAGCACUAAAAGAUCUUGUUUCUAAUGGUGUUUAACUCAGUUUUCUCAUUGUGUAACUAUCCUUAUUUUGUGGGGUAAGAUUUGAUUUCAAAUAAAUGCCAAAGUCAUUUGAGGUUUGGCUUAUUGCUCUUCAUUCCUUUUGAAAAUUCUUUAUGUUGGUAUUUGGAUUUUAUAAAAUUUGACUUUUUGGUUGUUUUAUAAAUCAUUGGGACCUGUUCCGGGCUCAUUUUUAGCUACUAGAGCAAAAUGAUGUUUUAUAUAAAACCUGAUGAAUCAAAUUGU
RNAcentral lists this unclassified non-coding RNA (314 nucleotides) under Hevea brasiliensis (rubber tree). Lineage: Eukaryota; Viridiplantae; Streptophyta; Magnoliopsida; Malpighiales; Euphorbiaceae. The record is from RNAcentral.